Temnothorax curvispinosus is the source of this 377-nucleotide long non-coding RNA. RefSeq lists it as uncharacterized. The record is from RefSeq and is a predicted model, not a curated record. The transcript has 4 exons. NCBI's taxonomy places the organism in Eukaryota, Metazoa, Arthropoda, Insecta, Hymenoptera, Formicidae.
GAUCGCGACAGGCACGAGACGGAUCGGCUGCGAAACGAGUGGCGUCGCGAGAGUUGUUUAAUUGAUCGCGACGGGCAUGCGAGACGAGUCGGCUGCGGAACGAGUGGCGUCGCGACUUAUUUAAGUGAACCAUCUUAGCUGAUAAUACGUAGCUGACAUUUCCACACCCCACCGUCAAUCGGCAAUUCCAUUUUUACCGAACAACAGGGCAACUAAACACAAUCGCCGCCGAUUGUAUAAACGGUUCGUUGCGUCGCAUUUUCGGGAGUGCCGCUCGAAAUCGUUGAAUUUUCGAAUAUGACAAUUAAAAUCGUCGCAUUUUCGGGAGUGCCGUUCGAAGUUGUCGUAUUAUCCGGAAGCGGAUCGCGCGAUUUUAA